Molecule: ribosomal RNA, 748 nt
Filed under: uncultured bacterium
Lineage: Bacteria
Description: bacterial SSU rRNA
Rfam family: Bacterial small subunit ribosomal RNA
Source: RNAcentral
UCGAGGGGCAGCGGUGGUGAAGGCUUGCCUUUACCAGCCGGCGACCGGCGCACGGGUGAGUAACACGUAUGCAACCUGCCUGCCACAGCCGGAUAAUCGGGAGAAAUUCCGUCUAAUACGGCAUAAUGCAUCGACGGGACAUCCUGUUGGUGCCAAAGGUUAAUUCCGGUGGCGGAUGGGCAUGCGUCGCAUUAGUUAGUUGGCGGUGUAACGGACCACCAAGACGACGAUGCGUAGGGGUUCUGAGAGGAAGGUCCCCCACACUGGUACUGAGACACGGACCAGACUCCUACGGGAGGCAGCAGUGAGGAAUAUUGGUCAAUGGGCGGGAGCCUGAACCAGCCAAGUCGCGUGAGGGAUGACGGCCCUAUGGGUUGUAAACCUCUUUUGCCGGGGAGCAAAGUGCCGCACGUGUGCGGUUUGGAGAGUACCCGGAGAAAAAGCAUCGGCUAACUCCGUGCCAGCAGCCGCGGUAAUACGGAGGAUGCGAGCGUUAUCCGGAUUUAUUGGGUUUAAAGGGUGCGUAGGCGGUCGGAUAAGUUAGAGGUGAAAUCCCGGGGCUCAACUUCGGAAUUGCCUCUGAUACUGUUCGGCUAGAGAGUAGUUGCGGUAGGCGGAAUGUAUGGUGUAGCGGUGAAAUGCUUAGAGAUCAUACAGAACACCGAUUGCGAAGGCAGCUUACCAAGCUACUUCUGACGUUGAGGCACGAAAGCGUGGGGAGCAAACAGGAUUAGAUACCCUGGUAGUC